Molecule: long non-coding RNA, 685 nt
Organism: Cavia porcellus (domestic guinea pig)
Lineage: Eukaryota; Metazoa; Chordata; Mammalia; Rodentia; Caviidae
Exons: 4
Source: RefSeq, a predicted model, not a curated record
CCUCGAUCCUAACACUGCACAAGGAGUGGACUCCAGGAUUCCAGCGUCACACACUCCAGACCCAGCCACCUCUGAAAAAGCCCCACCUGUGUCUGUGAGAGACUCUUCUGGGACAUCUAGGCACAAGCCAUAUAAGGAGGACACGUCUGAAGCCAAUUUAUGAUUUCUGGACCCCCAUAAGAGCACUUCUGCACCAUGGGCUCUGACUGAGGCAAUGUGGUGUGAAACCCACUCUUGGGUGGGCACCUCACCUAAUCUGCGACAAUCACGGUGUUUCUCUGGAGAUUCUCACACUGGAUCUGAGGAGAGACAGUCCCACCAUGAAGAUGGAAGCUCAAAGACUGAAACCAGCUGCCACUGGUGACCACAUUUCUGUAAUACAGAGGAAACUAGCUUGAAGCCAGAGGCCAGAGGCCAAGGGAGUCCCGAGGUACUUCAUGCUCGCCAUCCUCUCAGGGAGCAGAGCAGAAGGCCGAAGCACAGAGGAUGAACCUAGGAGGCUAAAGAAGAUCCCCGCAUGACUUCUACACAGGUACGUCAGUGUGUGACGAGCUACCCAGCUGUGUGACUGAGCCAUGCACACUUCCUACCCCACCAAUCUCAAGGUCCACAGGGAGGCAGCCAAGUGUGUCCUCAUAUGUCAGAUUUUCAAUGAACCUUUGCUGAUUGAGCGACUACUUGCACA